CAUAUGACUCUCGGCAAUGGAUAUCUCGGCUCUUGCAUCGAUGAAGAACGUAGUGAAAUGCGAUACUUGGUGUGAAUUGCAGAAUCUCGUGAACCAUUGAGUCUUUGAACGCAAGUUGUGCCCGAGGCUUUGUGGCCGAGGGCACGCCUGCUUGGGCGUCAUGG
RNAcentral lists this ribosomal RNA (164 nucleotides) under Globba atrosanguinea. Its description in RNAcentral is "5.8S ribosomal RNA". It matches the Rfam family "5.8S ribosomal RNA". Rfam says of the family: 5.8S ribosomal RNA (5.8S rRNA) is a component of the large subunit of the eukaryotic ribosome. It is transcribed by RNA polymerase I as part of the 45S precursor that also contains 18S and 28S rRNA. Functionally, it is thought that 5.8S rRNA may be involved in ribosome translocation. Lineage: Eukaryota; Viridiplantae; Streptophyta; Magnoliopsida; Zingiberales; Zingiberaceae. The record is from RNAcentral.